AUAGUACAUCAGGAGUGGUUUCAGUAUUGAAACCCGCCAACCGAACCCAGAUAAAUCAAGGUUACGGUGGUUUGAUCCUUAAACGGUAGAUGUGCCCAGGAAGAUGGGAAACAUGAUUAGCCGCCU
This 126-nucleotide non-coding RNA is filed under the name unclassified sequences. The record is from Rfam.